Molecule: long non-coding RNA, 953 nt
Filed under: Homo sapiens (human)
Lineage: Eukaryota; Metazoa; Chordata; Mammalia; Primates; Hominidae
Description: HSALNT0192806
Source: RNAcentral
GUUUUCGUAUUUUUUGGUGGAGACGGGGUUUCGCCGUGUUGGCCGGGCUGGUCUCCAGCUCCUGACCGCGAGGGAUCUGCCAGCCUCGGCCUCCUGAGGUGGCGGGAUUGCAGACGGAGUCUCCCUCACUCAGUGCUCAAUGUUGACCAGGCUGGAGUGCAGUGGCAUGAUCUCGGCUCGCUACAACCUCCACCUCCCAGCCGCAUGCCUUGGCCUCCCAAGGUGCCGAGAUUGCAGCCUCUGCCCGGCGGUCAUCCCCUCUAGGAAGUGAGGAGCGUCUCUGCCCGGCCACCCAUCGUCAGGGAUGUGGGGAGUGCCUCUGCCCCCCGCCCCGUCUGAGAUGUGAAGAGCGUCUCUGCCCGGCCGCGACCCCGUCUGGGAACUGAGGAGUGUCUCUGCCCCGCCGCCACCCCGCCUGGGAGGUGAGGAGCGUCUCUGACCUGCCGCCCCAUCUGAGAAGUGAGGAGUCCCUCCGCCCAGCAGCCGCCCCUUCUGGGAAGUGAGGAGCGUCUCCGCCUGGCAGCCGCGCCAGUCUGGGAGCUGCUAUUGUUUCUGAAGAAAUGUCAGCAGUUAUUGGAACCAUUGUUCUUUGUAUUUAUGUAAUGGAAUUGAAUGAAGCAAGUGUCAGAUCUACAUCUCUACAAACACUCACUUUAUCAGUUCAGAGAAUAAAGAGAUGAAUUUAAUAAUGCCACUGGACACUUAUACUCUAUCGGAUCCUAAUAAUUUCUCACACUAAUGAAUUCUUCUAUCAACUUCAUGUUAAUCAAGAGGAGACAGAGCCAAGAAGUGAGUAAUUGCUUACUGAAUUGUGAAAGCUGGGAUGAUUUAACUACAGGCAAUCAUCCAUUGGCUCAAUUUAAUGAUCAUCCUGGAUAAAUCUCUGCACAACAAUAAGAAGGAAAUGAGCUACAGAUAUGGCAAAUCUUUUAUAACUCCACAUCACAUUCUGU